RNAcentral lists this ribosomal RNA (1216 nucleotides) under Tolypocladium sp. INBio_4515L. Its description in RNAcentral is "eukaryotic LSU rRNA". The stretch from base 328 to 1216 matches the Rfam family "Eukaryotic large subunit ribosomal RNA", at positions 1 to 921 of the family's 3401-position model. Lineage: Eukaryota; Fungi; Ascomycota; Sordariomycetes; Hypocreales; Ophiocordycipitaceae. The record is from RNAcentral.
AAAACUUUCAACAACGGAUCUCUUGGCUCUGGCAUCGAUGAAGAACGCAGCGAAAUGCGAUAAGUAAUGUGAAUUGCAGAAUUCAGUGAAUCAUCGAAUCUUUGAACGCACAUUGCGCCCGCCAGCAUUCUGGCGGGCAUGCCUGUCCGAGCGUCAUUUCAACCCUCAGGGAACCCCUUCUGGGGGGGACCUGGUGUUGGGGUCCGGCCGCCCGCGCCGCCCCCGAAAUGCAGUGGCGACCUCGCCGCAGCCUCCCCUGCGUAGUAGCACAACCUCGCACCGGAGCGCGGAGACGGUCACGCCGUAAAACGCCCAACUUUCACGAGUUGACCUCGGAUCAGGUAGGAAUACCCGCUGAACUUAAGCAUAUCAAUAAGCGGAGGAAAAGAAACCAACAGGGAUUGCCCCAGUAACGGCGAGUGAAGCGGCAACAGCUCAAAUUUGAAAUCUGGCCCCCAGGGCCCGAGUUGUAAUUUGCAGAGGAUGCUUUUGGCGCGGUGCCUUCCGAGUUCCCUGGAACGGGACGCCAUAGAGGGUGAGAGCCCCGUCUGGUCGGACACCAAGCCAGUGUAAAGCUCCUUCGACGAGUCGAGUAGUUUGGGAAUGCUGCUCUAAAUGGGAGGUAUAUGUCUUCUAAAGCUAAAUACCGGCCAGAGACCGAUAGCGCACAAGUAGAGUGAUCGAAAGAUGAAAAGCACUUUGAAAAGAGGGUUAAACAGUACGUGAAAUUGUUGAAAGGGAAGCGUUUAUGACCAGACUUGGGCCCGGUGAAUCAUCCAGCGUUCUCGCUGGUGCACUUUGCCGGGCCCAGGCCAGCAUCAGUUCGCCGCGGGGGAUAAAAGCUUCGGGAACGUGGCUCCCUCGGGAGUGUUAUAGCCCGUUGCAUAAUACCCUGUGGCGGACUGAGGUUCGCGCUCCGCAAGGAUGCUGGCGUAAUGGUCAUCAGCGACCCGUCUUGAAACACGGACCAAGGAGUCGUCUUCGUAUGCGAGUGUUCGGGUGUCAAACCCCUACGCGUAAUGAAAGUGAACGCAGGUGAGAGCUUCGGCGCAUCAUCGACCGAUCCUGAUGUUCUCGGAUGGAUUUGAGUAAGAGCAUACGGGGCCGGACCCGAAAGAAGGUGAACUAUGCCUGUAUAGGGUGAAGCCAGAGGAAACUCUGGUGGAGGCUCGCAGCGGUUCUGACGUGCAAAUCGAUCGUCAAAUAUGGGCAUGGG